AAAAGUCGAUUUAGGAAUGCCGUAUGAGCUUUGGGAUGAACCCUCGGCCUGAAAUUUCUCACCUUAAAACUCAGUGUGAGAGGUUUAUAGAAGACCAUGAAGAUCGUAUAUCCGACUGGUAUUUUGGAAAGCAGAGAAAUACUCUAAGGGAGUCUGUAUGUAAGAAAGUGCUUAGAGAUAAAAAUGUUUUAGAUGAACCCAAUGGAGAAGACAUUGAAGUUGAACCUGAAGCUGCCUCUGAAACACAAGUCAAGAAAAGUAGGAAAGGGGAUAUGGGAAAGGCUGACAAAAGUGAACUAUAGGUUCAUUCUUAUGUCACCUUUUAAAUAACUCCGUUAUUUUGUGGUAUGUGUAGUCGUUUUUAGGUAGUCUUUUUGAUUACUCAGGUAUUGAAACAAAGGAGUUUAAUAGGCUAUAUCUUGUCAUCUUUCUUCUGUUUACAAGAAACUGGUAAAUGUUUAGAGACUGCACAUAGGUAAUUAGUUUAUUACAGCUGUGCUGUUUUGCUCAUAUGAGGUCACUAAUUUUAAUAACCUAAUGCUUUCAUUUCCAUAUUAGUGUUAGUUUUAAUUUAUUUGUCAUCCCCUAGAUAGGACAGUAUAGUACAGCAUGCAUUUCCUAGAUGCAUCAAAAGCAUGUUUAUUAUUGUUUCACGAGCGAGACUGUUUUCUGUACUCUGCAAUUGUAUUCCAGUGUUCAGUUUCCAUUUACAUUUUGUCAAAAUGUUUCCAUACCCACAUUAUUACAAACCAUUAUUAGUUUAAGCCUUACCUCCUGUUUACUGUUGCACAAAGGUUGUAACAAUUACAUAUUCAGAGUAAGUAGAAAUAGAUAACCCGCUGUCUUGCACUGUUUUUCUUGAGGAUGAUUUUGUGCAUUAAUAUUGUAAAUGGGAACUUUCAUUUAAUGCUCUUCUUUGCUUUCUAUUAUUGAUUACUGUUUUCACUUCUAUGCUGUGAUGAAGGUGAUUAGAAUGGGAGGUUUUAAAUUAUUUCGGGUAUACAUUCUUUCUCAUUGUUUUUAUACUUCAUUAAUCCUUUUUUAGUAUGAAACAACCUUCAACAAUGAACUAGGUUAAGUAAUAUUACCCCCUUUGGUUAAAAUACUAUGUGGAAAUUAAUAUUAGCAUACAUUUCACCUUACAUAUGUACCACUGGUUAACAUGAAUUGAAUGUAAUGAAAACAGCCCAGUUGUAAUCUCCCUACCACCCAUUGAAUAUUACGUGUUACAUAGGAAAUACUACACAGUGUGUUGACUCACAGCUGUCCCACAUAAUUUUUCUCACAGUAAAUGGGAAAUCAGCACUGUUGAAACAGUAACAUAGUAUUUUAAUCCGUAGGUAGGAUAAGGGUAAUAUAUUAUACUUUAUCACCUCUAGAUAGAUAUUCAAGAUCUCCUGCCAAAGAGUAUGUACAACCUUUAGCUUGCAUUCAUGCAGCAAAUGUUGACUACCAAGAGCAUGUUCAUUUGAAUUUUAAUAGGUAUUAUGAGAUGAGGCUUACUUUCAUCUUUGAAAGAAAUUUUAUGUGUCAGCUGUGCAAUACAGGAAACAAAAAUAGUAACCCUUUGAGAUUCCUUUGAUGUCAAAUGAUGUCAUCCUCUCCCAAACUGCUGCGGUUCCAGUAAUGCAAAAUGACCCCAUCCAAUGAAAAUAUUUGGUAACCAUGAUAUUUUGAAGUUUUUCGUUCUAUAUUUUUGAAUUGACUUGACUAAAUUCAGAUACUCGGCUGCAAUUUGAACAUACUACAAUUCAAAUACAGUAGUACCUCGAGAUACGAAAGGCUCAACUUACGAAAAACUCGAGAUACGAAAGCCAAUACGAAAAAUUUAACGGCUCUACAUACGAAAAGUUUUAAAGAUACGAAAGGUUUCUGAAAGUCUGAGAUUCGCCCGAAUAACAAUUUUGAAAAUCGCGCCGCACGCCGCCAUUCUUAGUACUAGUAGACUCGCCACCAUCCUCCUGCUCUCCCAUUAGUUCCUGAUGCUAGUCGCGGCCAUGAAAUCCUUCUCUCCUAUUGGCCAGCGUCCCUCCAUCAUGCAUCUACUAUGUAUACGUGGUGGCGUGCUUUGGCCACUCGGCACAGCAUUGUUAUAGUACGCACACGGUAUUCGUUUUUGGGAUCGUCAAUGUGUACGUUAUUUAAAAAAAAGUGACCAAGAUCUCUCACAUGGGAUAAGUGAUCAAGGUCUCUCAUCAUGGGAUAACUGGA
This is an RNA transcript of Macrobrachium nipponense, 2211 nucleotides long. It is a transcript of the gene named protein canopy homolog 4-like, with no coding region annotated. The record is from RefSeq and is a predicted model, not a curated record. The transcript is spliced from 3 exons. Lineage: Eukaryota; Metazoa; Arthropoda; Malacostraca; Decapoda; Palaemonidae.